Molecule: long non-coding RNA, 3150 nt
Filed under: Oryza sativa Indica Group (long-grained rice)
Lineage: Eukaryota; Viridiplantae; Streptophyta; Magnoliopsida; Poales; Poaceae
Description: lncRNA OsPr106_07g0012840
Source: RNAcentral
GGAUCCUAUCAAUGGAGUUUUCGUUGGAAGAGCAAGAAGUCAACGGGAACGGCGAUGAUUCUGAGCGCCUUCGUGUCGGCGUGCGCCUCGAAGCUCGCGGGCCUGAUCGCCGACAGGAUCGCCGCCGGCCUCGGCGUGGAGGACGACGUCCGGAGCCUGCAGCGGCGGAUGGAGCGCGUGGCGGGUGCCGUUCUCGCGGACGCGGAGCGGCGGCGGCGCCGCCUGACGGGCGAGCACGAGGCGUCCGCCGGCGCGUGGAUCGACGAGCUCAGGGACUUCCUCUACGACGCCGACGACGUGCUCGACCUCUGCAGGUGCCGCGGUGAGCGCCUUCUAGCGGAACGCCGGCCACGCUCACGGCCACUGAUGGCGACGGUGAAUCUGGUCUCGUCACUCCAAAAACUGCAGGCUCGGCUUGAGAUUGGGGCACAGAUUAGUCGCCUGAACCGCAGAUUCGAGGAGAUAUGCAAGGAUAGGCUGUUCUUGAGCCUCGCCGUCGAUGACUCCAAGGCGGAGGACGGCGGCUCCCGCGGUGGCGGUGGCGGCGGCAGCCGGGUUCGAACACGUACGAGCACCCCUCUGCUGGACACCAACGUGGUGGGAAAAGAAAUCAAGAGCGCGACGGAGGCGCUGGUGGAGAAGAUAAUGCGCGACGACGGCCGUGGAGAGGUCGUCGCCGUCGUCGGGAUGGGCGGCAUCGGCAAGACGACGCUGGCGCAGAGGGUGUUCAGCAGCCGGAGGAUCACCGGCGGGUUCCCCGUGCGGGCGUGGCUGUGCAUCUCGAGGGAGUACUCGGAGACGGACACGGUGAAGGAGGCCAUCCGCUGCUGCGGCGGCGACUACGGCCGCGCCGAGACGCUGGCGGAGCUGCAGCUGAUCCUCCGCUCGGCCGUCGCCGGGAAGCGCGUCUUCCUCGUCCUCGACGACGUGUGGGACGCCGGCGUGUGGACGUCGCUGCUUCGCAUCCCCUUCCAUGGCGCCACGGGGAGAGUCCGAGUCCUCAUCACCACCCGGGACCAGAGAGUCGCCGCCAGAGCUGGCGCCAACCACAUCCAUCAGGUGAAGCGCCUAGGCUCCGACUCCGGCUGGGAGCUGCUCCACAGGACGGCGCGCCUCGACGGCGCAGACGAGAUGCAGAGCCUGAGAGAUGUUGGCAUGGCCAUCGUCGCCAAAUGCGGCUUCCUCCCCCUCACCAUCAAGGUGAUCGGAGGGCUCCUGAUGACGAAGCGCAGGAGCAGAGCCGAGUGGGAGAGAGUUCUUGGCAGCGACGCGUGGUCCACGGCCGAGCUCCGCGACGAGUUCAAAGGAGCAAUCUUACUGAGCUACGAGGACUUGCCACCUCAUCUCAAGCAAUGCUUCCUCUACUUCUCCCUCUUCCCUGCCGACUUCGUCUACUACCGUUGUCAUAUCUGCAGGCAAUGGGUCGCCGAAGGGUUCAUCGCUGCAUCAGGACAACACAUGGCGGAGGAGAUCGCUGAAGCGAGGAGCAUCUUGCAGCCGCACCCGGAUUAUCUCGCCGACCAGAGCAGGUGCACCGUGCACGAUGUGUUGAGAUCAUUUGCACAGCAUUUGUCGAGGAGGGAAAGCAUCUGCGGAGAUUUACAGGCAGUCGGUUGUUCUUCGUUCCUAGUCAAGCUCCGCCGACUGUCGCUGAUGAACCUAGAAGAGGCAAUGGUGCCCUGCAAUGCAAUCUCCCGUGAUCGAAAAUGUUUCCGGACUCUGUUUCUAAUGGCCAUCCCAAAGGUUGAUGGUAGGCUAGUGGUAAGGUUUUCCGGUCUUCGAACACUGUUCCUUAGUGACUGUAACAUCGGCAAACUUCCCGAUUCAAUUGGGGAUCUGAUGCACCUGAGGUAUCUAGGCUUCGACACUGUUGACAUACCAGCACUACCGGAGAGCAUCGGCCACCUUACGAAUCUGCAGUUUCUGAAUGUCAAGAGGUGCACAUUGCUUACCGCGUUGCCAAGAGCACUCACUCGCAUUCAGAGUUUACGGCGCCUUGGAAUUGAAGAAACACCGAUAAGAUUGGUGCCCCGCGGCAUUGGAGGGCUGCAUUCCCUCGUUGAUUUGCAAGGGUUCAUAGUGGGUAAUGCAAUUAGUAGCAGCACAAUGCAGCAAGGGUGGAUCUUGACAGAGCUUGAAAGUCUCUCCCGGCUAAAAUGGCUUCGUAUUGAUAGUUUGGAAAAAGCAGCAAUUGACAAUGUAGAUAUCCUUGCUACCAAACAACAUCUGAAGAGAUUAGAGCUGUCGUGUUCUCUAAAAUCAAAUGGUGACAAUGACCCAUGGGACGAAAUAGAGGUUAAAAAGACUGAAGCAAUCUUUGAGAAGUUACUUCCUGCAAGUUGUUUAGAGGACCUUCUCAUCAGAGGAUUCUUUGGCCGAAAAUUUCCAAUAUGGAUGGAGUCAUCUUCUCUCUGCAAUGUGACAUGGUUGAAACUUAUUGACUGCAGGUUCUGCCUCAAAUUUCCACCAUUGGGUCAGCUGCCACAUCUGACCUUCCUUAAGAUUGUGCGCGCAAAUUCUGUCAUCGCAAUAUUCCCUUGUCUGCGUCAACUUGAACUGAAGGACUGUCCAAAACUCAGAGCUCUACCUGAACAGCUGAAGCAUGCCACCAAGAUGCAGAGGCUGCGCAUACAGGGAGUUCAUGCACUGAAGAAGAUUGAGAACCUUCAUGAACUUUCAGGCUCGCUACGUAUCAACGGAAGCCGCUCUCUCGCGAGCAUUUCAGACCUGUAUCAGAUCAAAGAGCUCUAUGUAGCUGACUGCACUGCUCUGCAGUUUGUGAACAAUCUAAAUGCGUUGAAGUGGCUGUACCUCGAAGAUGAGACGAUGGACUGUAUCCCGAUGUGGCUGUCGAGGCUGACAGAGAAUGGUGAGCAAGCCGGUGAAGACGGCCUCGAGUUGGAGCUGCAUUGCAGCACUGACAUGCUGGAUAGGUGCCUAAUGGGGCGUCAGGAUUGGACAAUCAUGGAGAGGUUCACAAGUGUUGCUGCAUAUUGCAAAGAAGAUUACAUGUGCUAUUCGAGACACCCAGUUAGCUACCACACAAGCAAGAGUGUUUCAAACUCAAAAUAGAAAUGCAUGAGUUAGCUACUGCCUUGUGUAUAUCUGUUUGGACAAGAAAUGCAAGAUUAGUCAAUUCAUUAAACUUGA